This 252-nucleotide ribosomal RNA is filed under the name uncultured bacterium. RNAcentral's name for it is "partial 16S ribosomal RNA". It matches the Rfam family "Bacterial small subunit ribosomal RNA", at positions 524 to 776 of the family's 1533-position model. The record is from RNAcentral.
UACGUAGGUCCCGAGCGUUGUCCGGAUUUAUUGGGCGUAAAGCGAGCGCAGGUGGUUUAUUAAGUCUGGUGUAAAAGGCAGUGGCUCAACCAUUGUAUGCAUUGGAAACUGGUAGACUUGAGUGCAGGAGAGGAGAGUGGAAUUCCAUGUGUAGCGGUGAAAUGCGUAGAUAUAUGGAGGAACACCGGUGGCGAAAGCGGCUCUCUGGCCUGUAACUGACACUGAGGCUCAAAAGCGUGGGGAGUAAACAGG